Molecule: microRNA precursor, 194 nt
Filed under: Oryza brachyantha (malo sina)
Lineage: Eukaryota; Viridiplantae; Streptophyta; Magnoliopsida; Poales; Poaceae
Description: MIR812 microRNA precursor family
Rfam family: MIR812 microRNA precursor family
Source: Rfam by way of RNAcentral
AAUAACUCUAUUUUUCGGUUUUCCGUAUCCAACGUUUGACCAUUCGUCUUAUUUAAAAAAAUUUUACGAUUAAUAUUUUUUAUUAUUACUAGAUGAUAAAAUAUGAAUAAUAUUUUAUACGUGACUAAAUUUUUUAAGUUUUUGCACAAUUUUUUUAAAUAAAACGAAUGGUCAAACGUUGGACACGGAAAAAC